GCAAGUCGAACGCGAAAGCUUCCUUCGGGGAGCAGCUUGUGGCGCACGGGUGAGUAACACGUAGGUAAUCUAUCCUUGGAUGGGGAAUAACAUCGAGAAAUCGGUGCUAAUACCGCAUAAUGCAGCGGCACCUAAUGGUGACAGUUUCUAAAGCGGGGGAUCGUAAGACCUCGCGUCUGAAGAGGAGCCUGCGGCGGAUUAGCUAGUUGGUAAGGUAACGGCUUACCAAGGCUAUGAUCCGUAACCGGCCUGAGAGGGCGGUCGGUCACACUGACACUGACAUACGGGUCAGACUCCUACGGGAGGCAGCAGUCGGGAAUUUUGGGCAAUGGGCGAAAGCCUGACCCAGCAACGCCGCGUGAAGGAUGAAAUCCCUCGGGAUGUAAACUUCGCAAGAACGGGAAGAAUAAGUCUGCGUGAAU
This 422-nucleotide ribosomal RNA is filed under the name uncultured Acidobacteriota bacterium. RNAcentral describes it as "bacterial SSU rRNA". It matches the Rfam family "Bacterial small subunit ribosomal RNA", at positions 57 to 464 of the family's 1533-position model. Lineage: Bacteria; Pseudomonadati; Acidobacteriota. The record is from RNAcentral.